This is a long non-coding RNA of Erinaceus europaeus (western European hedgehog), 949 nucleotides long. RefSeq lists it as uncharacterized. The transcript has 4 exons. The record is from RefSeq and is a predicted model, not a curated record. Lineage: Eukaryota; Metazoa; Chordata; Mammalia; Eulipotyphla; Erinaceidae.
CACUCGGAGAUUCAGGGGAGGGGAGCUGGGGGGGCGGAGUCACCAGGGCGCGCUCCCGCGGCCGCGCUCCUCCCCGUCUAGGCGCGCGGGCGCGUCCCCCAGCGGGCGCCGGGCCAGCGAAGAGCACGCGAGGCGCGGGAGGAGGGAAACCGGCCGUGGAGGCCACAAGUCUCCGCCCGCCGGCGCCCCGCCAGAGGGUGCGCGCGCAGCCUGCCAGAUCAGCGGCGGAGGGUCGGGCCGUACCACUCCGCGGAGGAGGGGGCAUCAACGCAGGCUCCGCUCCCUGCCCGGCUUCCCGCUUUCUCUGAGGGAAAGUCAGCCCGGGAAAGCUUAUUCAAACCAAGGAUCUGUGCUGUUAUCUUGACAAGGUCUUUAGCUGAGUGAAUCCAGAGGUCUAGACCCUUCUAUCACCAGGAGCUAACCACCUUGUAUCCCAGGACUAUGGGAGGGUGACCUGUCAUCACCUGAAAUGAAGUACGGUUGCCAGGACCGCCCAGCCGAGAAAAUGUGAACAAGAUGCCUCGUGCUGCUGAUGAACUCCUAACUCCCACAGCCUCAAGAGAAGGCGGGAGGGAAGCAGCUGGCCAGCACCCCGGAUUUGUUGUCAGCCAGGCUUCAUCCUGUGCUUGAGAAGUCCCUGGCUGACAACAAAACAUCCAGACUCCUAUGACUAUUAAGCUCACCCCUUCUUCAAGGGUCAGAGUGGACCCAGAAAAGCACUGGGUUCUAAACUGGGCUUGAGCCCCAGCACCACAUGGGAGUGCCAUGGAACAUGAAAGCUUCAGUGCUAUGGUGUUUCUAACUCUGUCUCUCUGAACGAAAAAAAAAGGGGGACCAGAAUUAGUGAAAUUACACCUUUGAGACUCUAGCUUCAUGUGCAUAAUGAUGGAAUGAUAAUCUGUACUCACUCUCACAGACACAAAAAUUAAAAAAAAAGAUUAAAACACAC